RNAcentral lists this microRNA precursor (202 nucleotides) under Medicago truncatula (barrel medic). Its description in RNAcentral is "MIR2619 microRNA precursor family". It matches the Rfam family "MIR2619 microRNA precursor family". Lineage: Eukaryota; Viridiplantae; Streptophyta; Magnoliopsida; Fabales; Fabaceae. The record is from Rfam by way of RNAcentral.
AAACAGCCCCCCUAUGUAUUGGACCUUUGGCAGUUUUGGCCCCCAAGGCCGCUUUUGACUUAGUCUUCGCUGACGUGACACCCACAAUGGUCGACAUGUGCCGCCUCGCUUAAGGGAUGUGAGUGCCACGUCAGCGAAGAUUAAGUCAAAAGUGGCUUUGGGGGCCAAAAUUGCCAAAAAUCCGAUACAUAGGGGGCUGUUU